GAACUGAUAAUUUGAUAAGUGGAAUGAUGGGGUAACGCCCUGAAACGCUUACACUUGGUGGGCAUGCAGUUUCUGUAAAGGAGAUUGUAUGAAGCCCCACGACAAAGACUGAGAGUAACCGUAGCAGCUUGCCAAUAAAGUUGCCGAAAGCAAUCCAGAGGUGGAUUGUGUUACCUAUAGGUCGAGUGUCUAUAAA
Molecule: non-coding RNA, 196 nt
Filed under: Enterocloster clostridioformis
Lineage: Bacteria; Bacillati; Bacillota; Clostridia; Lachnospirales; Lachnospiraceae
Also listed under: 1 other name
Source: RNAcentral